AAGCUUCCAUAACUUCAAUUUCAUAAACUAAGGUCGUUCAGUUGCAAAACGAGAUAUCUAGGAAUUAAAAAUCUCAAGAUUAUAAUCUGGAGGUAGUUAAUCCCACAUCUAAUAUGUAAUAGUUAAUACCACUAUAUUGGUAUAAAAUAUAUAUUGUAUUAGGUAAUACCCAUAACCAAAUAUAUAGUAUUAAAACAAAAAAAACAAAAAGCAGUUGCUAUUACAUUUCAGCUGUGACAGUCAAUACUUGCGAUCGCCGGAAAAUUGCGCGAUGAUGACGGAAGCAAAUAGGCUACCGGCGGAAGAAAUCACAAACACGGCGACAUACGUAACGGCAGUAGAGGAACUAUUGAAGUAUCGAUUCAAGAACACGAAGCUUCUAGAAGAAGCUCUAACUCACACUUCCUGUAAUUCUUCUUCAGCUUCUAAUAAUUACCAGCGGCUCGCUUUCGUCGGCGACGCAGCUCUCGGCUUAGCCAUUUCCAGUUAUUUCUUCUCGAUUUACCCGGACGUCGACUGCGGUAAGCUCACUGACCUCCGCGCCGCCAACGUCAGCACCGAAAAGCUCGCUAGAGUCGCCGUCCGCCACGGUCUCUACAACUACCUCCGCCGCAAUUCACCGAUCCUCGAUGAAAAGGUGAAAGAAUUCGUGAUAGCAGUGCAACAUGAGGCGGAGAUGGAGUUCUAUGGAGGAGUGAUGAAAGCGCCAAAAAAUCUUGCAGACAUUGUGGAGUCGGUCAUGGGAGCUGUAUAUGUGGAUUGUGGCUUCGAUGUCAAUGCUUUCUGGGUGAUCUUUAGAGGCCUACUCGAGCCUAUCAUCAUGCUGAAUAUGUUGAAAGAACAACCACAGCCUGUAACAAUGCUAUUUGGACUUUGCAAUAAGGAUGGAAAACAAGUUGAGGUAGAACAUCGGAAAGAGGGAGAUAAAAACAUUGCUAGCGUCUAUGUUGAUGGACAAUUUAUUGCAUCAGCUUCUUCUGAGCACAAAGAGAAUGCAAAGCUUCAAGUUGCAAAGGCUGCUCUUAAAGAGUUGUUCUAUGACCCUUAUGAUAAGAUGGACGUUGAACUUGUUCCAUCUCAGAAAAAAAAGACAAAUGUUGACUUUUCUCCAUUUCAGAAAAUAAAGAUGGAUGUCGAAUUUGACCCAACAAAAGAGAGUGAAGGAGCAAAGCAGAAACUGAAUGAGCUUUGUGGAAGAAAGAAAUGGUCCAAACCAAGUUACAGAAUAGAGAAAGAGAUAGGUCCUGCUCACAAUAGGAGCUUUACAUGCUCUGUGCAAGUUUCAAUUGGUGAAAGUGUGCUUUCUGUGACGGGAAACGAGAAGUCACGAGUAAAAGAUGCAGAGAAUUCAGCAGCUUUAGCAAUGAUUCAGGGUUUGCAAGAAUCCAAGGUCAGUUAAUUAUAAAUAUCCCAUGUUCCAUUUCUGGAUGAAGCAGACAGCACAAAGAGGAAUGUAUAGCUUAUUCAGGUUCUAUGUCGAUGGUGGAAUAGUCAUCUUUGGUUGCUGCAAAGUGAAUAUAUAUUCAGGUUCUCUGUCGAUGGUGCAAUAAUCAUCUCUGGUUGCUGCAAAGUGAAUAUAUAUCCAGGUUCUUUGCCGAUGUUGCAAUAAUCAUCUUUGGUUGCCGCAAAGUGAAUAUAUAUAUAUAUCCAGGUUCUUUGCCGAUGAUGCAACUAUCAUCUUUUGGUGCUGCAAAGUGAAUAUUGGUUGAAAUAUUGUCAUAAGUCUACUUGGAAAAUAUACAACAGUAGAGAGUGCACCACUUAUUACGCGAUAAUGCAAAAGACAUCAGCACCUACCAAAGCAGACUGAGCUCUGGCCAAUUCAGGUAAUUUCUUGUGAUUUGGAGAUUUGGAGAAGGAAAUGAGUGCAAUGAUGAGAAGGUGAACAAUGAAAGAGAGGUAUGUAGUUCUUAGUGAUGUGGAUAACAGAGGGGUGAUGAUAAGAAGGGUAGCAAUGAGCAAAAGCUUUAGAGCUUGGGAGAUUUUGGUCAUCAUGUCCAUAAACAUCUCAAUAGCUACAGGAAAAGAAAGCAAAAGCGAUUCCCGUAAUAGCAACAAGCAAAAUAGGAGCAGCUUAAACCGUGAAAAUGGAAUUGUGGCAGAGAAAUAUAAGAGAUUCUUUUGAUCCUCUAUUUGAUGAAUAUAAAGAUGUUGGGAGAGGGCUUGAGGGGAAGAUAAAUGGUAGGAAUAGGAGUGAUGAUGUUCAAGCAGAGAAGUGGUAGUGGAGUUUUAGAACAAUGGGGGCCAAUUAAUUCAUAUUUAUAGAUGAAAAGAGAAAAGUAUGUGUAUGUGGUAAAUUGGUUGUCUUUAUGUAACUAACAAUAUAAAAAUAUUUUUAGUGUAAUUUAUAAGGAAGAUAAUGAGAUGCUUAAGUUGGUUA
This is a non-coding RNA of Nicotiana tabacum (common tobacco), 2380 nucleotides long. NCBI's taxonomy places the organism in Eukaryota, Viridiplantae, Streptophyta, Magnoliopsida, Solanales, Solanaceae. The record is from RefSeq and is a predicted model, not a curated record.